Molecule: long non-coding RNA, 701 nt
Organism: Apodemus sylvaticus (European woodmouse)
Lineage: Eukaryota; Metazoa; Chordata; Mammalia; Rodentia; Muridae
Exons: 5
Source: RefSeq, a predicted model, not a curated record
CUCGCGCAAAGGAAGCUAUAAAAGGAGCUGCGGGGACCGCGGCUCUUUCUUUUACGUCGGGACGUAAGGCUUUUCUUUGUCUUGUAGGGACAAUGGUGCCAUUGUUCUUACCGUCUUCAAAGCAGUCUCAAGAAACCGAGAUGGAGAGGAACCCAAAGCAUCUAAGAGAAUUCAUAAAAGAGAGAAACUUGCUUAAAACGUGACCCUUUUAAAAGCAGGGAAUGCCGACCCCUGGGGAUACCCGUGACCUGUAAAGAACCUAUGCAGGAGUGCAUGACCAGUGACACACGGCUUGAGAAUGAAAACUAGAUGUGGUAAACAUCCAGAAAAGGCAGACGAGAAGAAAAUGCAAACACAGUAUUAGUCCUGGGAUGUUUGAGAUAGGUUCUCCAUGGCCCUGACUGGCCAUCCCUGUUGAUUUGUCUAGUGAUCGGGACAGCAUCUGGUAUGGCCUGCAGAGUUCAUUUUUGGUCAUUUUUUUGUGGCUGUAUGUAAAAAUGGAUUGUUUUGCCAAUCCAUUGACAGUGUUUUAUUCUCUGAAGGUUGUGGUGAGCUGACACAGCUGUGUAGACUGAGCAGUCAAUGCAAUUAUGAGUGUAAAGUUGCCUUUGUGAUUGUAAAAUUGGUCAUGAGCAAUUUCCUUAUACAUCUGGCAGUGGUUGCUUGGGAGUGCUGCAAUAAAUAAUCCAGUUGCAAAUACA